Small nucleolar RNA from Echinops telfairi (small Madagascar hedgehog), 138 nucleotides. RefSeq annotates it as small nucleolar RNA SNORA15. Lineage: Eukaryota; Metazoa; Chordata; Mammalia; Afrosoricida; Tenrecidae. The record is from RefSeq and is a predicted model, not a curated record. The transcript has a single exon.
GCAUGCUGAAUACUGUUUUGUUUUUUUAUCCAUAAUCUACACAGCCAGAUAUCAUGCCACAGUAUCGUUUCCCUUUAAUGCACUUCCGAUGUGCUGUGUCUUCUUUGUGGCAUGUCAUCCAUAGAGGCGAACACAAAG